RNAcentral lists this ribosomal RNA (471 nucleotides) under Triticum aestivum (bread wheat). RNAcentral describes it as "partial small subunit ribosomal RNA". The record is from RNAcentral. Lineage: Eukaryota; Viridiplantae; Streptophyta; Magnoliopsida; Poales; Poaceae.
AUGGUGAUGACAGUCCAGCAAUGCCCGAAAUUCGGGCAGCCAUGGAUGUUGCAAAGACACAUAACGGAUGCAUUGUCACAAAGGCCAGGCCUACAAAGUCAAGUGCUAGCAAUUGUUGACAAGAGGUGGGAUAACCAGAUGGAGCAAAAGCUACAUGGGGCUGCAAUGUUUUUGAACCCCAGCAAGUUCUUUAAAAUGAAGGAGACUAACAAAAGACUAGCUGCACGGCUGCGUUCAAUGUUCAAUGAUGUGCUAUGGAAGAUGGUGACCGAUGAUGAACUACAAUCCAAGAUAAGUAAAUUGGCUGAUGAUUAUGAGCGAACGGAGGGUGAAUGUUUCACCAAGCAAAUGGCAAUUAAAGACUGCAAGAAAAAGAGUCCUCGUAAGUAUCUAUGUUGUUGCAGCUUGGAGCUUAUCUUCUUGACUCUAUGUUUCAACUUCUACUUGCUUGUUUCAACUCCUACUUGCUAA